AGGACGAACGCUGGCGGCGUGCCUAACACAUGCAAGUCGAACGGACGAGGGGAGCUUGCUCCCCAAGUUAGUGGCGGACGGGUGAGUAACACGUGAGCAACCUGCCCUUCGGAGGGGGACAACAGUUGGAAACGACUGCUAAUACCGCAUAACGUAUCCUGGAGGCAUCUCCGGGAUACCAAAGAUUUUAUCGCCGAAGGAUGGGCUCGCGUCUGAUUAGAUAGUUGGCGGGGCAACGGCCCACCAAGUCGACGAUCAGUAGCCGGACUGAGAGGUUGAACGGCCACAUUGGGACUGAGAUACGGCCCAGACUCCUACGGGAGGCAGCAGUGGGGAAUAUUGGGCAAUGGGGGGACCAACCCUGACCCAGCAACGCCGCGUGGAGGAAGAAGGCUUUCGGGUUGUAAACUCCUUUGACGAGGGACGAUAAUGACGGUACCUCGAAAACAAGCCACGGCUAACUACGUGCCAGCCGCUGC
This 479-nucleotide ribosomal RNA is filed under the name uncultured bacterium. RNAcentral describes it as "bacterial SSU rRNA". It matches the Rfam family "Bacterial small subunit ribosomal RNA", at positions 26 to 518 of the family's 1533-position model. The record is from RNAcentral.